AAAAUGAUUAACAAUCUGUUCCUGGUUUUAAUUUACCUUCAACUUGAUUUACCAAAAAGCCUAAUCUGAUCAUCUUAUAUUUUGUUUGUUAUCUCAAAUCAACACUAAUCAAAUUAUAUUGAUUGUUUACUUUUCUCAUUGUCACCGGAAGUGUCCAUGAGCAAUAACUGUUAAUAGUUUUGCUUUUACAACAAUCUAUUUCCAACUGAGUACAAUCAACAUUAAUUUUGGACAUUCGUUGGACAUUUAAAAUCUUAAGGGUCAACUGUCCAUUGGUAUUACUUUUUCUCAUUAGGUAGUUAAUCACUACGGUGGGUCUUUGAUUGCUCCCUGUCAUCAUUUAAUUUGAUUCAUGAUCCAAAGGUGUAUCAACAUGAUUAUGACAACAAUCAAAUGAUUUUGUUUCUAGGAAAUGAAAAAAAAAACAUUGUCACUUGUUGUUGAUUAAUGAAAUGAAAAUUUGAUUAAAUAUCAGCUUUUAAUUUUA
Long non-coding RNA from Panonychus citri (citrus red mite), 487 nucleotides. RefSeq lists it as uncharacterized. The record is from RefSeq and is a predicted model, not a curated record. The transcript has 2 exons. NCBI's taxonomy places the organism in Eukaryota, Metazoa, Arthropoda, Arachnida, Trombidiformes, Tetranychidae.